GUAGUGGAAAAACAAUUUUAAUAGAUAAAUAAUCAAGAUAUUUUGAGAAGCUGUCUAUAAAAGUCAUAAACCACUACCAAAAGCUUACUCCACAUCUCUCUCUACAAAAAGUACUCAGGAGCAAAAAAAAACGAAAUCAAAUAAAAAUAAAAUGGUUCUGCUAGAUAAGCUUUGGGAUGAUGUUGUUGCCGGACCUCAACCUGACCGUGGCCUAGCCCGCCUCCGUAAAAUCACCACCCAACCCAUUAAUAUCAGAGGAGAAGGAAGCAACAAGGUGAUGCAUAGGUCGUUGACUAUGCCGACGGUAGUGAGCCCCGGAACUCCAACUACUCCGACCACUCCGACAACGCCACAUAAGGAUAACGUGUGGAGGAGCGUCUUUAAUCCUGGAAGCAAUCUCGCCACAAGAGCCAUCGGCUCCAACAUCUUUGAUAAACCAGCCCACCCAAAUUCUCCAUCCGUCUACGACUGCGAUGAUAACGAAGCUCAAAGGAAGGAACACGUGGCACUGUGUUUAGUAGGCGCGUGGAUUAAAUGAAAACCAAUAAAACAUUAUUCUGUUUUACCAUAUCAACCACCUCCUUUAUUGUGCAUAUGGUUGUACAGCGGCGAGUCAAGGAGUCAGCACCGUUAAAAGCGAGUCAAUGGGAGUGACACAAGUGGGUGAUGUAAAUAUGGUGUCUAGAUCUACCGUCACGUGUCUGUCUAGGUUUUGCUUGUUUAUAUAACUGUCUUCCACCUAUGCAAUAAGUUUUCCUUUUUGGGCUUGGUUUGCAAGUUUCUUUUGUGUGUUUUUGUAGUAACUUGCAAGUGGAGAGGUUGAGUCUUCACUAUCUCGUUUGGUUUUGAUAGUGAACAUGCAUCUGCUUUUGUGUUUCUA
This is an RNA transcript of Brassica rapa (field mustard), 880 nucleotides long. It is a transcript of the gene named dormancy-associated protein 1, with no coding region annotated. The record is from RefSeq and is a predicted model, not a curated record. Lineage: Eukaryota; Viridiplantae; Streptophyta; Magnoliopsida; Brassicales; Brassicaceae.